CGGGGCCCUGGGGGCGGGCUCUGCGGCCUGUGGCUGCAGAGGGACGCAAGAGCAUAAACUGAAAUCCCACAUCCCCGUGGAGGAACUUGGAGAUAAGAUGCAAAGCGCAGCAAAUAGGAGCCACUCUUUCAGAGAUGACAGACCACCUGGUUUCGAGGAGCAGCAGACAGCGUGAAUGAAUGAAGUUGGCCAGGUAAAGAACUGAAAUGCAGACAGGAAAUGGGACUUGCCUGACAUGGAGCAGGUGUUCUGUGUGUUGACUGGAAUCACCUGGGAAGUUUUAGUCCUGUGAUACCACCUGGAACCACAGACAGAGUGAGGACACAGCAAGAAGAUGAUCAUCUGCAAGCCAAGAAGAGGGGUCUCACCAGAAUCCUAUAAUGCUGGCACCCUGAUAUUUUACUUUCCACCUUCCAUAAAUGUGAGAAAUAAAUGUCUAGGCCACCCAGUCUACGGUAUUUUGUUAUCUUGAACUGACUAAUA
Molecule: long non-coding RNA, 483 nt
Filed under: Homo sapiens (human)
Lineage: Eukaryota; Metazoa; Chordata; Mammalia; Primates; Hominidae
Description: HSALNT0337625
Source: RNAcentral